This 135-nucleotide ribosomal RNA is filed under the name uncultured bacterium. RNAcentral's name for it is "partial 16S ribosomal RNA". It matches the Rfam family "Bacterial small subunit ribosomal RNA", at positions 1358 to 1500 of the family's 1533-position model. The record is from RNAcentral.
UACGGUGAAUACGUUCCCGGACCUUGUACACACCGCCCGUCAAGCCAUGGAAGCCGGGUGUACCUAAAGUCGGUAACCGCAAGGAGCCGCCUAGGGUAAAACUGGUGACUGGGGCUAAGUCGUAACAAAGGUACC